This is an unclassified non-coding RNA of Pongo abelii (Sumatran orangutan), 147 nucleotides long. It matches the Rfam family "Metazoan signal recognition particle RNA". From Rfam's summary of the family: The signal recognition particle (SRP) is a universally conserved ribonucleoprotein. It is involved in the co-translational targeting of proteins to membranes. The record is from Ensembl. NCBI's taxonomy places the organism in Eukaryota, Metazoa, Chordata, Mammalia, Primates, Hominidae.
GCCAGGUGUGGUGGCGGGUACCUGUAAUCCCAGCUACUUGGGAGGCUGAGGCAGGAGAAUAGCUUGAGCCCAGGAGGGAGAGGUUGCAGUGGGCCAAGGUCAUACACUGCACUCUAGCCUGGGCAACAGAGCAAGACUCCGUCUCUA